ACCUUAUCAAGAGUGGUGGAGGGAACGGCCCUGUGAAGCCCGGCAACCUGCGUAAAGCGUGGUGCCAAAUCCGGCGGUGAUUAUCGAGAGAUGAGGC
Molecule: regulatory RNA element, 97 nt
Organism: Firmicutes bacterium CAG:555
Lineage: Bacteria; Bacillati; Bacillota
Rfam family: SAM riboswitch aptamer (S box leader)
About the family: The SAM riboswitch is found upstream of a number of genes which code for proteins involved in methionine or cysteine biosynthesis in Gram-positive bacteria.
Source: Rfam